UUGAAACACAAGUUCUCGUAGGAUCACCACAGUUAAGCAACGUCGAGUCUGGUUAGUACUUAGAUGGGUGACCGCUUGGGAAUACCAGGGGCUGUAA
Molecule: non-coding RNA, 97 nt
Organism: Acanthosepion pharaonis
Lineage: Eukaryota; Metazoa; Mollusca; Cephalopoda; Sepiida; Sepiidae
Source: the annotation of a GenBank genome assembly